Long non-coding RNA from Lingula anatina, 936 nucleotides. The record is from RefSeq and is a predicted model, not a curated record. NCBI's taxonomy places the organism in Eukaryota, Metazoa, Brachiopoda, Lingulata, Lingulida, Lingulidae.
GGAGCAUAUCGUGACAGAAGCUGACCUCAACCCACAGUUUGUGCAGGUGCAAACGCUGACAAAAGGAUCCGUAUUUGGUCUAGCAAAUAUUGUUUUUGACGACCAGCCCAGUCUCUGUAUCGUCAGCAAUGGUGCUGAAUGUAUCAUGAUCAACAAGAAAUUUUACCUGGAGCAUUGCCCGGAUGCAUUAAUGCGGCGCCUCAGAACGACGGUUUCUCCCUUCCCGUCUGACGACGAAAUGCAGAAAAACCUCAAGGAGCGCGUCAACUGGGACGUAUACCGGCAAGCCAGGCUAAACCACGUCGUCUUCGAUAUACAGCAGCUAAAAAUGAGAUUCAACUAUGACGCUUUCAUUUCGUGGUGACAGGACUACACAUUUUGAAUUUUACACUCAUGAUGGUCUUUGCAAUUUGUUCAAAAUCUCAAUAGUUGUCCAGUUGUGGAGUACUAAUUUAUACAUAGGACUAGGGCUUUUGAUUAGAAUACUCAUUUUGGCAAUCUUCUUUAUUGAAUAUAAAAGUCCUAUAACGGUUUAUUUUUCAUAUUUACGAUAAAAACCAUUUGUGGCUCAAAUGCAAAAUCUAAAUUGACCAACAAACUUCAUCAAGAGCAAUGUACAUACAUGACAUACAUGUACUGCAUGACGAAAACGUUUUUUAUGCUGGGGUGCGAAGACCAAGAUCUGUCAAGACAAAAAGGAAGCGGUUCGAUUUUUUUUACCGUCCUAAUUUCUUAGAAAUGAUGCCAUAUUUGUUAGCGUCAUCUUCGUGUAUCUGCGCAUUGCGAGGAGCUCAUGAUCUCUUAGACAUUGUCGGAUACAGGGAUAUAUACAGGGAGCCUAAGGCAAACCACCUUACCCCUUCACUUCUUCUUGAUACCCUGACUCCGCAAGUGUAACAACUUUUGAUCAGAUAUCCAUUACAUGUACCUUUACAG